UUUCAAAAUAAGGUAUCUUUUAUUUAAUUAUUUAAAAAGACUUUGACAGAAUUACCGGAUCUUUUCCAAAUUUCGAAUCGUUUGACAGAAUAGGUUCGCAUCCAGCCACGUAUUCGAACCAUUUCUUGUCGGUGUCGGAUGAGUCGGGCCUGAGUCGGCCCCGUCCCGGAAGAUGGAUCGAUAAAAUAUUAUUACACCCCGCAAAAUUCUCCGGCCAAGAAGAAAGCAUGGGCGUGCUCUCAGUUUAUCCUCAGCUUAUUCCACCUAAAAUCCUUCACCGUUUCCUCUCAGCGAAGCCUCUGAGAUCGAGAUUGGUUUCCCUCCCUCCUCCAAGGAGAAAUCCUCGUCGAGUUCGGUGCUCCUCGUCCUCCGAAGCUACGGAGGAUGGGUUCGUCGUCGUGGAGGAUGACCUCCACGCGCUUCUUCAAAUUUUACCCAAAGAUUUGCGAGAUAAUCUACAAAAUGAACCUAGAAGAGCUCAACUUUUAGAGGUUAUUCUGGAUUUGGGUCGUAAGCCUGAAGCACGUUUCCUUGGUGAAUCUGGUGGGCAGUAUCUGAGGAAUACAGAGAUUUCACUGGAAGAGUUGGAGAAAGCUCAGAAAGCAGUUGGAGAAUUUGGAGGAGACAACCGUGCAGGCAUUGAAGGUACCUUACACAGGAUAUCUGCAAUAAGGAGUAGGAAGGGGCUUAUUGUUGGGCUGACAUGUAGAGUUGGACGAGCAGUUACUGGUCAUGUUGACAUGGUCCGUGAUCUCCUGCAAUACAAUGAAAGCAUCCUAUUUCUAGGAAGGCCUGGAGUAGGUAAGACUACUGUCAUGCGUGAGAUUGCACGUGUCUUGGCUGAUGAACUUCAAAAGCGAGUGGUAAUUGUGGAUACUAGCAAUGAGAUUGGAGGAGAUGGGGAUAUUCCUCACACAGCAAUAGGGGGUGCAAGGAGAAUGCAAGUUCCAGAACCAUCCAUGCAGCACAGACUCAUGAUUGAAGCAGUUGAGAAUCAUAUGCCUGAGGUGGUAAUUGUAGAUGAGAUUGGUACUGAAGCAGAGGCACUUGCUUGUAGAUCAAUUGCAGAAAGGGGACUGAUGCUUAUCGGUACUGCCCAUGGAGAACAUUUGGGAAAUAUAAUUAAAAACCCCACUCUUUCUGAUCUGGUUGGGGGAGUGGAAACUGUUACUCUAGGUGAUGAUGAGGCUCGAGCUAGACGUAGCCAGAAAAGCAUUCUUGAGAGAAAAGCUCCUCCAACAUUUCCUUUCCUUAUUGAGAUGAGGGAACGGAAUCACUGGGUCGCUCACCGAACCGAAAGGAGCGUUGAUAUGUUGCUCCACGGCAAAAAGCCGUUGGUAGAGGUGAGAAAGAGGGAUGACCAGUUCAAGGUUGUAAUUGAAAGAUGGAUAACAUAUGAUGGAGAGGCAAUAUAGUGAGAUUUUGCUCCAUCGGUUAUACCAAAAUUUGCACUUACCAAAAAAAGGACUGCUUGGCCUUGACAAUGGUGUCAAAAAUUUGCAAAUUGUUGAUUGGAUUGCCCAGCUCAGCUCCACACCUGCUGAUUUCACGGCCUAAAUUUUGUCAAACAUCUAGUGAAGGUUUAAGAAGCAAAAACUAAAGGAAAAUGCAUGGUGGUGGGGGAAGAUGUUCUCACUUAUGGUUGAAAUUAAAUCAAAUAUUAAUAUAUCCAUAUCUAUAUCUAUUUUGUUUGACAAAUACAGAUAUGAAUAUGGGAUUGAUAUAAAAAUUUAUGUUCAUAUUUAAAUGGGAUAUCGAAAGUAUGAAUAUACAUAUAGAUAUAAGUCGGAUAAUUAAAUUUUUUGUUC
This is a non-coding RNA of Elaeis guineensis (African oil palm), 1808 nucleotides long. The record is from RefSeq and is a predicted model, not a curated record. NCBI's taxonomy places the organism in Eukaryota, Viridiplantae, Streptophyta, Magnoliopsida, Arecales, Arecaceae.